CCUGUAGCUUACACAGAUGGGCACAGCCACGCCCUCUCCUGGAAGAGCCUAGCCCAGUGGGGACAGGAGCCCUGUGUCCCUGGUGCUAAAUGCUCUCUUCCCUUUGGGCCACUGUGGGUGGGAACUCCUUUCUGGCCAGACCACGAGGGUCUAAAGCAAUAAUGGAACCUCAGCAGUGCCAGUACGGACUGGGUUCUUGGUUUAUCAGCUUUUCCAUUUCCUUUUAUUUUAAAAAUAAAUUAGCCCUGGCUGG
Molecule: long non-coding RNA, 253 nt
Organism: Phyllostomus discolor (pale spear-nosed bat)
Lineage: Eukaryota; Metazoa; Chordata; Mammalia; Chiroptera; Phyllostomidae
Exons: 3
Source: RefSeq, a predicted model, not a curated record